AUCGGCGCUUGCUGCUGCUUAACACAUGCAGUCGAACGGUAACAGGCCCUUCUGGGUGCUGACGAGUGGCGGACGGGUGAGUAAUGAGUAAGAAUCUGCCCUGUAAUGGGGGAUAACCCGGGGAAACUCGGGCUAAUACCGCAGACCCUCCAAGGAGGAAAGCGGGGGACCUUCGGGGCUCUCGCUAUGGGAUGAGCCUCCUUCCCAUUAGCUUGUUGGUGGGGUAAUGGCCUACCAAGGCAACCAUCUAUAUCUGGUCUGAGAGGGCGACCAUCCACACUGGGACUGAGACACGGCCCAUACUCCAACCGGAGGCAGCAGUGGGGAAUAUUGGACUAUGGGCGCAAGCCUGAUCCAGCAAUGCCGUGUGUGUGAAGAAGGCCUUAGGGUUGUAAAGCACUUUCAGCAGGGAGGAAAAACAUAGGGUUAAUACCCCUGUGUCUUGACGUAACCUGCAUAAGAUCCACCGGCUAACUCCUUGCCACCAGCCGCGAUGCUACAGAGGGUGCCAGCGUUAAUCGGAAUUACAGUGCGCAAAGCGCUCCUAGGCCGUUUGAUACGUCGGAUGCGACAGGAACUAUGCUUUACCUGGCAAUGGCAUCCGAUACUGUCAUGCUAGAGUAUGGUAGAGGACAAGCGGAAUUUCCACAUGUAGCGGUGCAAUGCGUAGAUAUCGUGGAGGAACACCAGUGGCGAAGGCGGCUUUCUGGACCAAUACUGAUCGCUGAGGUGUGAGAGCGUGGGGAGCAAACAGGAUUAGAUACCCGUGGUAGUGCACGCUGUAAACGAUGAGAACUAGAUGUUGGGAGGAUUAAACCUCUUAGUGUCACAGCUAACGCGUUAAGUUCUCCGCCUGGGGAGUACGGCCGCAAGGUUAAAACUCAAAUGAAUUGACGGGGGCCCGCACAAGCGGUGGAGCAUGUGGUUUAAUUCGAUGCAACGCGAAGAACCUUACCUGCUCUUGACAUGUGCGGAACCUUCCAGAGAUGGGAGGGUGCCUUCGGGAGCCGCAAGACAGGUGUUGCAUGGCUGUUGUCAGCUCGUGUCGUGAGAUGUUGGGUUAAGUCCCGUAACGAGCGCAACCCUUGUCCCUAGUUGCCAGCGAGUAAAGUCGGGAACUCUAGGGAGACUGCCGGUGACAAACCGGAGGAAGGUGGGGACGACGUCAAGUCAUCAUGGCCCUUAUGAGCAGGGCUACACACGUGUUACAAUGGCCGGUACAAAGGGCUGCUAACCCGCGAGGGGGCGCCAAUCCCAAAAAACCGGUCGUAGUCCAGAUUGGAGUCUGCAACUCGACUCCAUGAAGCCGGAAUCGCUAGUAAUCGCGGAUCAGAAUGCCGCGGUGAAUACGUUCCCGGCCCUUGUACAC
RNAcentral lists this ribosomal RNA (1369 nucleotides) under uncultured bacterium. RNAcentral describes it as "bacterial SSU rRNA". It matches the Rfam family "Bacterial small subunit ribosomal RNA", at positions 29 to 1388 of the family's 1533-position model. The record is from RNAcentral.